RNAcentral lists this ribosomal RNA (505 nucleotides) under uncultured bacterium. Its description in RNAcentral is "partial 16S ribosomal RNA". It matches the Rfam family "Bacterial small subunit ribosomal RNA", at positions 28 to 507 of the family's 1533-position model. The record is from RNAcentral.
GACGAACGCUGGCGGCGUGCCUAAUACAUGCAGGUAGAACGCACAGUUUAUACCGUAGCUUGCUACACCAUAGACUGUGAGUUGCGAACGGGUGAGUAACGCGUAGGUAACCUGCCUGGUAGCGGGGGAUAACUAUUGGAAACGAUAGCUAAUACCGCAUAAUAUUAAUUAUUGCAUGAUAAUUAAUUGAAAGGUGCAAUUGCACCACUACCAGAUGGACCUGCGUUGUAUUAGCUAGUAGGUGAGGUAACGGCUCACCUAGGCGACGAUACAUAGCCGACCUGAGAGGGUGAUCGGCCACACUGGGACGGAGACACGGCCCAGACUGCUACGGGAGGCAGCAGUAGGGAAUCUUCGGCAAGGGACGAAAGUCUGACCGAGCAACGCCGCGUGAGUGAAGAAGGUUGUCGGAUCGUAAAGCUCGGUUGUAAGAGAAGAACGGGUGUGAGAGUGGAAAGUUCACACUGUGACGGUAUCUGACCAGAAAGGGACGGCUAACUACGUG